UUUGCCCCCCCCCCCAAAAUGGGGGUGAUUCGGGUUUGCCCCCCCCUUACUUGAGGUUGGAGAGCUCCAGGAUGAGGCCGCGGACGAUGUCGGUUGCGUCCUCCCCGGGUGGGGGCUCCGGGACCCUGGGGGGGAGGACCAGGGGGGGUGAGGAGAGCACUGGGGGCCACGUUUUGGGGUUAAAACGAGCAUUUUUGGCCCGGCAGCGUGCGGUGCCCCUUACCCAGGCUGUGCCCGCGGCGCGGUGCUGCUGAGCGCUGGGGGGUGGCCGCAUCCUGCGGCAUCCCGUGGCCCGGUGGGGGGUGUCUGGGGGGGUCGGGGACACCAGGAGGGGUUUUGGGGGGGCUCGAGGCGGCGCGGGGGUCGCCGCGUCCCCCCCCCGGGGUGUUUUGGGGUGCGUUACCUGCGGGGGCGCCGCGCCGUCGGCGUUUGGGGCGUCCCUCACCGCACCGGGGGGCCGCGGCUCUGCCUCCGCCGUGCCCCCCCCCAGCACCGCAGCACCCCGGGGUCCUGGGUCCCUGAGCUCCUUGGCCUCCUCCUGGCCCCCCCGUGGGACCCCCGGGGGGGGGCAGCGCCCCCAGACCUCCGCUGGGCUCCCGCUCGGCUCCACGGCCCCGCUUGGGCGCUCAGCACUGGCGGCGGCGCCGCCGUCUGCAUCGGUGCGGUGGCGUCCGGGAGUCACUGGGGGCUGGGGGCUGCCGGUGCUGGUGGUGGUGGUGGUGCUGGUGGUGCUGGUGUCGAUGCUGGGGUAGGUGCUGGUGCUGGUGGUGGUGGUGGUGCUGGUAUCGGUGCUGGUGCUCAUGCCAGUGCUGGUACCGGUGCCAUUGCUGGUGCCGGUGGUGGUGCCGGUGGUGGUGCUGGGGUCAUUGCUAGUGCUGGUGCCAGUACUGGUGCUGGCAUCCGUGCCGGUGGUGGUGCUGGGGUCAGUGCUGGUACUGGUGCUGGUGCCGGUGGUGGUGCUGGUGCUGGCACUGGUGCUGGUUUCGGUGCUGGUGUCGGUGCCAGUGCUGGGGUCAGUGUCAGUACUGGUACUGGUGCUGGGGUCAGUGCCAG
Molecule: long non-coding RNA, 1053 nt
Organism: Anser brachyrhynchus (Pink-footed goose)
Lineage: Eukaryota; Metazoa; Chordata; Aves; Anseriformes; Anatidae
Source: Ensembl